AACGAACGCUGGCGGCAGGCUUAACACAUGCAAGUCGAACGGGCACCUUCGGGUGUCAGUGGCAGACGGGUGAGUAACGCGUGGGAACGUACCCUUCGGUUCGGAAUAACCCAGGGAAACUUGGGCUAACACCGGAUACGUCCGCAAGGAGAAGAUUUAUCGCCGAAGGAUCGGCCCGCGUCGGAUUAGCUAGUUGGUGGGUAAUGGCCCACCAAGGCGACGAUCCGUAGCUGGUCUGAGAGGAUGANCAGCCACACUGGGACUGAGACACGGCCCAGACUCCUACGGGAGGCANCAGUGGGGAAUAUUGGACAAUGGGCGAAAGCCUGAUCCAGCCAUGCCGCGU
Molecule: ribosomal RNA, 346 nt
Filed under: uncultured bacterium
Lineage: Bacteria
Description: bacterial SSU rRNA
Rfam family: Bacterial small subunit ribosomal RNA
Source: RNAcentral